Molecule: transfer RNA, 60 nt
Filed under: Ligilactobacillus salivarius
Lineage: Bacteria; Bacillati; Bacillota; Bacilli; Lactobacillales; Lactobacillaceae
Description: tRNA-Und (NNN) (tRNA-Und-NNN-1-1)
Rfam family: tRNA
About the family: Transfer RNA (tRNA) molecules are approximately 80 nucleotides in length. Their secondary structure includes four short double-helical elements and three loops (D, anti-codon, and T loops).
Source: RNAcentral
CGCAACGUAGCUCAACUGGUAGAGCAAAGGAUGAUGUGGGUUCGAGUCCCACCGUUGCAA